RNAcentral lists this ribosomal RNA (735 nucleotides) under Aspergillus niger. Its description in RNAcentral is "SSU rRNA". It matches the Rfam family "Eukaryotic small subunit ribosomal RNA", at positions 260 to 1002 of the family's 1831-position model. The record is from RNAcentral. Lineage: Eukaryota; Fungi; Ascomycota; Eurotiomycetes; Eurotiales; Aspergillaceae.
UUAACGAAUCGCAUGGCCUUGCGCCGGCGAUGGUUCAUUCAAAUUUCUGCCCUAUCAACUUUCGAUGGUAGGAUAGUGGCCUACCAUGGUGGCAACGGGUAACGGGGAAUUAGGGUUCGAUUCCGGAGAGGGAGCCUGAGAAACGGCUACCACAUCCAAGGAAGGCAGCAGGCGCGCAAAUUACCCAAUCCCGACACGGGGAGGUAGUGACAAUAAAUACUGAUACGGGGCUCUUUUGGGUCUCGUAAUUGGAAUGAGUACAAUCUAAAUCCCUUAACGAGGAACAAUUGGAGGGCAAGUCUGGUGCCAGCAGCCGCGGUAAUUCCAGCUCCAAUAGCGUAUAUUAAAGUUGUUGCAGUUAAAAAGCUCGUAGUUGAACCUUGGGUUCGGCCGGCCGGUCCGCCUCACCGCGAGUACUGUCCGGCCGUUCCUUUCCUUCUGGGGAAUCCCAUGGCCUUCACUGGCUGUGGGGGGAACCAGGACUUUUACUGUGAAAAAAUUAGAGUGUUCAAAGCAGGCCUUUGCUCGAAUACAUUAGCAUGGAAUAAUAGAAUAGGACGUGUGGUUCUAUUUUGUUGGUUUCUAGGACCGCCGUAAUGAUUAAUAGGGAUAGUCGGGGGCGUCAGUAUUCAGCUGUCAGAGGUGAAAUUCUUGGAUUUGCUGAAGACUAACUACUGCGAAAGCAUUCGCCAAGGAUGUUUUCAUUAAUCAGGGAACGAAAGUUAGGGGAUCGAA